CUCCAGAAGAAUGACAUGAAAGUCUGAGGCUGUAAAUAAGAUGAAAGAUGGCUCAUGAUAUACUCUACAUUUUUGUCAGUCAGUAUUGUAGGAGUUAACAAAUCAGUCACACAUAAGAAGAAAAUGAAUCAAAGCAAUCUCAAUGGCGUACACAUCCACUGAAGGCGAGCAAUUGUUGCACGAAUCAUAAUAUUCCUUUCUUUCUUUCCACCCCCCACAAUGAUAUACCAAAUCUCCCUCCAUAAAGGGAUCAAUCUUUUUCCGUUAUAGUAUCACAAUUUCAUGUUCUUAUGAAACACUAUGCCCUAUUUGGUACUUGCUGAGUUCUUUGUGCAAGCUAAAACCUCUUUUACAUUUUGAUUCACUCACAAACCCACUUCAAUGAUUCUGACUUUUUGCCUUUUUCGAUUUGUUUUUCUCCUGCAUCUUCUUUUUCUUUGCUUCAGCUGAAAUCCAUGUAUAAUCAGGAGGAAUAACAAAUGGGUCCUGAAUGUUCUCUAUCCUACUGCUAGAACCACCAGCUGAUGCGCUAGGGCGAUGGUAAGGAGCUUUUAUCCACUGAAACCAGGAUGAACUUGAGGACUGUGUCACUGCUGGGCUUUCUCGUCCAGCAGCUGUAGGACUUGAAGGAGGCGUUGCAAAUUCAUCCAGUGGCUGUAAUUCUUCAAACUUCGUGAAUGUAACCAAUACUCUGAUGGUGGGUACCACUGGAAUAGCAACCUUCACAGGAAAGGUUCCCAUUGGAAGUUUCGUUGUAAGCAGCUCUCUUAAACGACGAAUUGCCUUAACCUUAUUUGCAAGGAUGUCAAGCAAUGGAAGAAGUUCUUCAGUUUGUAAUGGGAAGUUUGGUGAAAGCCAAAGAGUUGGCCUCAAUCCCUUUUUAUAUUCAUUCUCACGGCUUCCUUCCCUGCGACGAUUACUGCUCUCAAUACUCGAAGAAGUAGAUAUCUUGGUAUC
RNAcentral lists this unclassified non-coding RNA (957 nucleotides) under Hevea brasiliensis (rubber tree). Lineage: Eukaryota; Viridiplantae; Streptophyta; Magnoliopsida; Malpighiales; Euphorbiaceae. The record is from RNAcentral.